RNAcentral lists this ribosomal RNA (722 nucleotides) under uncultured Lachnospiraceae bacterium. RNAcentral's name for it is "bacterial SSU rRNA". It matches the Rfam family "Bacterial small subunit ribosomal RNA", at positions 53 to 776 of the family's 1533-position model. Lineage: Bacteria; Bacillati; Bacillota; Clostridia; Lachnospirales; Lachnospiraceae. The record is from RNAcentral.
ACAUGCAAGUCGAACGGGAAACCUUUUAUUGAAGCUUCGGCAGAUUUAGCUGGUUUCUAGUGGCGGACGGGUGAGUAACGCGUGGGUAACCUGCCUUAUACAGGGGGAUAACAACCAGAAAUGGUUGCUAAUACCGCAUAAGCGCACAGGACCGCAUGGUCCGGUGUGAAAAACUCCGGUGGUAUAAGAUGGACCCGCGUUGGAUUAGCUAGUUGGCAGGGUAACGGCCUACCAAGGCGACGAUCCAUAGCCGGCCUGAGAGGGUGAACGGCCACAUUGGGACUGAGACACGGCCCAGACUCCUACGGGAGGCAGCAGUGGGGAAUAUUGCACAAUGGGGGAAACCCUGAUGCAGCGACGCCGCGUGAAGGAAGAAGUAUCUCGGUAUGUAAACUUCUAUCAGCAGGGAAGAUAGUGACGGUACCUGACUAAGAAGCCCCGGCUAACUACGUGCCAGCAGCCGCGGUAAUACGUAGGGGGCAAGCGUUAUCCGGAUUUACUGGGUGUAAAGGGAGCGUAGACGGACUGGCAAGUCUGAUGUGAAAGGCGGGGGCUCAACCCCUGGACUGCAUUGGAAACUGUUAGUCUUGAGUGCCGGAGAGGUAAGCGGAAUUCCUAGUGUAGCGGUGAAAUGCGUAGAUAUUAGGAGGAACACCAGUGGCGAAGGCGGCUUACUGGACGGUAACUGACGUUGAGGCUCGAAAGCGUGGGGAGCAAACAGG